ACCACAUCAGAAACAAUCUACAAGCCGUGGCCAGCACAAGCAGAAGCCCUAAGUGCUGUUGGCAGUGCACAGCUACAUCCCUCUUUGAGACCAUGGAACAGGGGAAGACUUGGAAGGUUGUAACAAUAAGGAAAGAGAGAGAGCAUGUAUUCUUUAUGCUCCAGAAGAGAAGCAAGUGAUCCUGUAACAGGAACAUGCUCUGAAGGACUGUGUCAGACACCAAUGGAUGUGCCCAUGACUAACUAGAAAAUAGCCAUUUCUCCUAGACUGGCUUAGCAAUUGCUCCUUAGUCUGAUUCUGUUGAAAGAUUCAAGAGCUCUGGAUGAAAAUCUGUAGAUGCUGCACAGUAAGAGCAGUCUCCUGUGUUAACUGUAAUGGUGACAUCGCACCAAGCAGGUACUGAGCCUCAUCUGGCUCUAUUUCCCUAUGAGGUGCGUGGGGAGCAUUUCUCAAGAUGGACUAAGACUACUGUACCGAGGAAAUUAAUAUAGCAGGACUCCUCUUGCAGACCUAUAAGCAGUAGCCUUCUAGAGGAAAGAAGCGGUGAGCUCUCUGUUCUCAGAGCACCAGGGGGCUCUGCAAGACAGUGGUUGGCUCUGAGCUGCACUGGGUACAGAUAGUAAGAGAUUAUAGCUCGAGGAAUAAUGCCAUUAGUAUUUUCUCAGGAUGAGUGUGCUGACAGCCACUCACUUCACACAAUUUCAACUCUCCUUCUCCUUCCUGGAUGACCAUCACAGCAACCAUCUCCCCAGCUGAAAAGACUGCUUUUUCCUGAAGAAGAACUUGGUUGCUAAGCAGUAACUGUGUGGGCAUUAGACCUCCACAAAAAUCUAGGAGAUCUGCUUCACCAGAAUGUCAUGGUGAAGCUCAAGCAUCCCACUGAGAUAUGCUAGUUUUACUGCAACAGUUAUAAUAAUGUUGUUUUUCAUAAGGGGUCAGGAAGGAGAGAUUUGUUGUGACCUUGGACAGGUGGAUCAAUAGUGUGAAAUUAAGUUGGAAGUCUGUAGCUAGCUGCGUAACCCAGGUGUCAGGACUGGAUCCAAUAUUGUUCUUCAUUAAUGGUCUGGGCAAUGGGGUAGAAUGCACCCUCAGUAAAUUCAUAGAUGACACAAAACUGGGGAUACUGGCUGACUCAACAAAGGACCAUAUAGCCAUCCAGAGGGACCUUAACAGGAUGGAGUGGUGGGCAGACAGGAACCUCGUGCAGUUCAACAAGAAGUACAGAGUACUACAGCUGGGAAGCAGCAGCCAGAUGCUGGAAAACAGCUCUGCAAAAACAGGCCUGAGAGUUCCGGUGGACGCUAGAAGUGCUGGCACAAAAUUGCCUGGAGAAGCUGUGAGGUGUCCUUCUUGGGAACUCUGAAUGCCACCUGGACAUGGGCAUGGGCACCCUGCUCUGAGUAUCCCUGCUUGAGCAGGAGUUGGACCAGAUGGACCUAGAGGUCCCUGCCAACCACAGACAUUCUGAGAUUCAGUGACUCAGCUGAAGGACAUUUGGACUUAUAAUAGACUUGGGACUGAAAAGGAUAUGGCACUGCUUUCUGCUGCAGACAUGUAGAAUGAAAGACUCAUCUUGUUUCCCUUGAAUUACUGAGUUACACAGAAUUAUGCAGCUCAUAAAAUUUUCCCCACUUUCUACUCUGUCCUGAGAAGCUCCAACUCUCUGAAAAUGCUCUUCCUCUCCCCUCAGUAUCAGUUACAAAAACCGUUAUGUUGGCAUAAAACUUCUGAAGCUCCUGUUGGGGGCAGUAGGGUAAUUCCUGGAGUAAGAUCAGAGAAAAGUAUUUUAAAAAUUUGUCAGUCCUUCUUGUGGAGCAGUACUUGCAUGACGUACUCCCACACAUACACACUUUGUAGAUUGAAGUAGGAGAAAGUGAGAGAGAUUGCAUGCUGCAAUCGUUGGAUUAGACACUUGUAAAAGCAGAGAGCAGUGCUGUCACUACAGGCUGCAGAAGAAACCAGAGAAAAUGUGCUACUUGCUGUAGCUGCUUGUUUGCUUACUCAUAGAUGCUGUUGCAGUUGUUACUUCUGGUUGCAGCAAGAACAUUGCAUGCAGGAUAUACGCAGUUUAAAAGUAUAAAGCAAUCUUGUUGGUUAACACACAAAAGGUAUUUAUCUAACAAGCUGUUAGAUAAAUAUUAGUGAGCUGAUACCCUAAUGAGCCAACAGGAAAGUCUUUGCCACUGUGAUGAUGUACUGCCCCCUCCCUUUCCUUUUUCCAGUCUCACUAUUCCACUAACAGCCUUAUUUGGGCAGGUGGUGAUCACAAUACUGGUUACUUUCUGGUCCUGGCUAGCUGGUAGAGAAGCUGGCACCUUGCUCUGCAGCUGAGGACUAGCCAACUAACCACCCAGAGUGCUGUAUGCAGUCUGGUUUAAACUAGCCUUUUGGGAAAAUAACAUUUAGCUCAAAACCACAAUCUAUAUCUGGUAUGUCUACAAGUCAAUCAUCUUUCCCCAAAAAUAGUGAAGAGCCCCAAAUCCCUCUCCUAUGUGACAGCAGAAUCUCUGCUUGAGUAGGGAUCCCUCAUGAAGUUAUGUCUGCUGCAGAGAUUCCUAACUUCAAGAGACACCUUGCUGAUAAGGUGCCUUGGUAAGAGACUGAUAGCUUGUUAAGCUCUGAGAGUUUCUCUAAAACUAUAUCUUAGUCUGACUGUGCACAUACAACAUAAACCAUUAGACGUAAGCCAUUGUCCAAGUCUGCACCUUGGCUGGCUCCUUACCUCUGCGGUUCAAGGAGUUUAGAAAGCUAGGAGAUUCAUUCUGAGCCUUAUGACUCAAUGAGAGGAUCCUUCGUUAAGUGUGUGCUUAAUCCUAUCCUCUGUGUAGCGAAUCAACAAGGAUACCUUGCCACCUCGAAUCUUAAGACACUUAUUAAUGAUUAAACUUUGUUAAAUCACUAGUAGUACUAAUAAAUAAAGUGCUGCUUCCCUCUUACAAGUGUAUAGUUUCUAUCUACAACAUCUAGGCAAGCAGACAUCAGCCAAGAGAGCUGAUAUACCUUAGCAGAGCUGGCUUGGGUUCCUGGUACAAGUGCCUUUCCCCCAUUAGAGUGGGGAAUGAGAAAGGUCAUUCAGAAGGGACA
Non-coding RNA from Meleagris gallopavo (turkey), 3084 nucleotides. The record is from RefSeq and is a predicted model, not a curated record. Lineage: Eukaryota; Metazoa; Chordata; Aves; Galliformes; Phasianidae.